GACGAACGCUGGCGGCGUGCUUAACACAUGCAAGUCGAACGGAAAGGCCCUGCUUUUGUGGGGUGCUCGAGUGGCGAACGGGUGAGUAACACGUGAGUAACCUGCCCUUGACUUUGGGAUAACUUCAGGAAACUGGGGCUAAUACCGGAUAGGAGCUCCUGCUGCAUGGUGGGGGUUGGAAAGUUUCGGCGGUUGGGGAUGGACUCGCGGCUUAUCAGCUUGUUGGUGUGGUAGUGGCUUACCAAGGCUUUGACGGGUAGCCGGCCUGAGAGGGUGACCGGCCACAUUGGGACUGCGAUACGGCCCAGACUCCUACGGGAGGCAGCAGUGGGGAAUCUUGCACAAUGGGCGGAAGCCUGAUGCAGCAACGCCGCGUGCGGGAUGACGGCCUUCGGGUUGUAAACCGCUAUCGCCUGUGACGAAGCGUGAGUGACGGUAAUGGGUAAAGAAGCACCGGCUAACUACGUG
Molecule: ribosomal RNA, 468 nt
Filed under: uncultured bacterium
Lineage: Bacteria
Description: partial 16S ribosomal RNA
Rfam family: Bacterial small subunit ribosomal RNA
Source: RNAcentral